UACGUAGGGUGCGAGCGUUAAUCGGAAUUACUGGGCGUAAAGCGUGCGUAGGCGGUUUUGUAAGCCAGAUGUGAAAUCCCCGGGCUCAACCUGGGAAUGGCAUUUGGGACUGCAAGGCUGGAGUACGGCAGAGGAGACUGGAAUUCCUGGUGUAGCAGUGAAAUUCGUAGAUAUUCGGAAGAACACCAGUGGCGAAGGCGGCUCACUGGUCCGGUACUGACGCUGAGGUGCGAAAGCGUGGGGAGCAAACAGG
This 253-nucleotide ribosomal RNA is filed under the name uncultured bacterium. Its description in RNAcentral is "partial 16S ribosomal RNA". It matches the Rfam family "Bacterial small subunit ribosomal RNA", at positions 524 to 776 of the family's 1533-position model. The record is from RNAcentral.